Molecule: small nuclear RNA, 199 nt
Organism: Gopherus evgoodei (Goodes thornscrub tortoise)
Lineage: Eukaryota; Metazoa; Chordata; Testudines; Testudinidae
Gene: U2
Rfam family: U2 spliceosomal RNA
About the family: U2 is a small nuclear RNA (snRNA) component of the spliceosome (involved in pre-mRNA splicing).
Source: Ensembl
AUUGCUUUUUGGCUCCCUAGAACUAAGAUCAAAACAUAGUGUCUGUUCUUUGCAGUACAAUCUGUGAUAUGUCUUUGAUGUGAGGAUUGUGUAUUAGCUUGAUUUUUGAAAGGAGAGGAUUAGUUAGAACAGGAGCUUGCUUUGUCUACUCCCUGCAUGGAUCUGGUAGUGUAGUGCUUCCAGAAACAGUGUAUCUCCU